UGUCUGCUUGUUCCGGGGUAGAGACAGGGUAGCUGGGCCCCUUCAGCGGCGCAGAAGUUCUUGGGGCUUCACAACUCCUUGUGGACCUAAUGGGGCUGCGGGAGACCAGCCAGCCCAUCUUCAUCGUCCUCCUGCUUUGCCGGCUGGGUGUCUCCUGCAGAGCUGACAGCUGCAACUUUGAGAAGCCACCACUGUACCCAGAUGGAGCCUCAGGCGCCUCAGGACCCAGGAACUUGAGUUGCUACAGGGUUUCCGGGGCAGACUAUGAAUGUUCCUGGCAUUACGAUGGCUCUGAGGACAAUGUCACGCACUUCCUGAGGUGCUGCUUCAGUGGUGGACGCUGCUGCUACUUUCCCGCAGGCCGUUCCAGGACUGUGCAGUUCUCGGAACAGGCUGGUGUCCCUGUGCUGUCUACCGUCACAUUCUGGGUGGAGUCUCGGCUCAGCAACUGGACCAUGAAGUCUCUGGAGAUAUCCCUGUACCUGUCUGAGUGGAGUGAGCUCCCUUUCUUACCUGUCCCUCUGUCACCCAGGUCCAGGAUGAAGGACUGGGCAUUGCAGUGUGACAAGAAAGUCUUGCUGCUUGGGAAUAAAUAGCUUAUCACUGGGCUCUUAGGUUUCUUCUGGUAAAGCCUGAUCCUCUGCUCCCCACAGUCCUGGGAGCCCCUCCUGGGAGCUGUGUGUUUUCAUGACUCAGUGUGUCUUUGACAGAGUCCUGUCCUGAGUGUGCAUGCUGAGGAUGUGGGUU
This 747-nucleotide long non-coding RNA is filed under the name Cricetulus griseus (Chinese hamster). Its description in RNAcentral is "lncRNA (ENSCGRG00000026173.1)". The record is from RNAcentral. Lineage: Eukaryota; Metazoa; Chordata; Mammalia; Rodentia; Cricetidae.